RNAcentral lists this small RNA (311 nucleotides) under Pongo abelii (Sumatran orangutan). RNAcentral describes it as "processed transcript". The record is from RNAcentral. Lineage: Eukaryota; Metazoa; Chordata; Mammalia; Primates; Hominidae.
UAACUGCGAGGCAGGGGAUGGAGCACUCCCUUGGCCUGGUUGCGCUGAGGAAGGAGUUGUGGUUCAUCUGGAUGCUGCCGACUGGAUAGGAUUUAGGAUUUGCCUGGAUUAAGGUCAUCAAAGCCGAAUCCGAACUUGAAUUCUGUGCGGCGGAUUGCAGAGAUGUCUUCAGGCCCUGAGGACUGGGAUCUGCGACCCCCAGUGAACAAAAGUCGGCCGUACCCCAGAGGCUAAUUUUCUCACGGCAGCACCUGUUGCAGAGGCUGCAAGUAAAAUAAAGGCGAACGCUAGUUUCCGAGCUCAUGUAAGAA